UAGUAGGGAAGAUCGGGGCGCUAGCCGUGCCCCAAAUCUGAAACCGGCUAUACGCAGAGAUCUGAUAACUGCUGGGUAAAUCUCUAGAUGGAUAGUACUCGCUUGACUUGCGGAAAUGAAAUCACGCCGAAGCGGGUGGAUGCAGGACUGGAGCUGUCCGAAGGGAUAGUCUCCAAGACCGAACUGCUGAAAGGGAUGAGGUCCGGGAGGGAGCAAUCCUAAGGUGGAGUAUCCACGCUGCGUCGUCUACGUGGCGGAUCUUGCUUGACAUGAAAUGAGACUGUCUGCCUAGACUGGAACUGGCAGAGCUACUACUA
This 317-nucleotide signal recognition particle RNA is filed under the name Nitrososphaerota archaeon. RNAcentral's name for it is "Thaumarchaeota archaeon signal recognition particle sRNA". It matches the Rfam family "Archaeal signal recognition particle RNA". Lineage: Archaea; Thermoproteati; Nitrososphaerota. The record is from RNAcentral.